AGAUCUUCCAGGAAAAUCCACGUCUUCCAGGAAAUCCAUGUCUUCCAAUAAUUUCAAGGUCUUCCAUCAAAUACAGAUCUUCCAGCUAAUCCAUGUCUUCCAGAAAAAUCUGUGUCUUCCACCAAAUCCAAGUCUUCCAGUAAAUCUAGUUCUUCCAGAAAAAUCUAGAUCUUCCAGUCAAUCAGUGUCUUCCAGAAAGAAAUCCAGGUCUUCCAGUCAGUCAGUGUCUUCCAGAAAAAUCUACGUCUUCCACCAAAUCCAGGUCUUCCAGUCAAUCCACAUCUUCCGGAAAAAAUCCAGGUCUUCCAGCCAAUAUAUGUCUUCCUGAAGAUCCACGUCUUCCAGAAAAUCCAUGUCUUCCAGAAAAUCCAUGUCUUCCAGUAACCUCCCAGUCUUCCAGAAAAUCCACGUCUUCCCAACAAUCCAAGUCUUCCGGAUAAUUUGGGUCUUCCUGAAAAUCUACGUCUUCCAAAAAA
This is a long non-coding RNA of Homo sapiens (human), 476 nucleotides long. Ensembl annotates it as long intergenic non-protein coding RNA 632. NCBI's taxonomy places the organism in Eukaryota, Metazoa, Chordata, Mammalia, Primates, Hominidae. The record is from Ensembl.